UACAGAGGGUGCAAGCGUUGCUCGGAAUUAUUGGGCGUAAAGGGUAUGUAGGCGAUUUUUAAAGGCUUCGGGAAAUUGCAAUUCGAAAAAGUUGCGUGGCCGAAGAGUAAAAAAUUUGAAAAAUGUUAAGAUUGGCAGAAUUACUAAUGUAGAGGUAAAAUCCGAUAAUAUUAGUAGGAAUACCAAAGGCGAAAGCAGCUUUUCGAACAUUUUUGACGCUGAUGUACUAAAGCAUGGGGAUCAAACAGG
Molecule: ribosomal RNA, 249 nt
Filed under: uncultured bacterium
Lineage: Bacteria
Description: partial 16S ribosomal RNA
Rfam family: Bacterial small subunit ribosomal RNA
Source: RNAcentral